Molecule: ribosomal RNA, 395 nt
Filed under: uncultured bacterium
Lineage: Bacteria
Description: bacterial SSU rRNA
Rfam family: Bacterial small subunit ribosomal RNA
Source: RNAcentral
GACGAACGCUGGCGGCGUGCUUAACACAUGCAAGUCGAGCGGUAAGGCCCUUUCGGGGGUACGACGAGCGGCGAACGGGUGAGUAACACGUGGGUGACCUGCCCUCAGCUCUGGGAUAAGCCUGGGAAACCGGGGUCGUAAUACCGGAUAUGACUCCAUGACGCAUGUUGUGGGGUGGAAAGCCUUGUGCGGCUGAGGAUGGGCCCGCGGCCUAUCAGCUUGUUGGUGGGGUGAUGGCCUACCAAGGCGACGACGGGUAGCCGGCCUGAGAGGGCGACCGGCCACACUGGGACUGAGACACGGCCCAGACUCCUACGGGAGGCAGCAGUGGGGAACCUUGCGCAAUGGGCGAAAGCCUGACGCAGCGACGCCGCGUGAGGGAUGACGGCCUGUGU